AAAUUGAAGAGUUUGAUCAUGGCUCAGAUUGAACGCUGGCGGCAGGCCUAACACAUGCAAGUCGAACGGUAGCACAGAGAGCUUGCUCUCGGGUGACGAGUGGCGGACGGGUGAGUAAUGUCUGGGAAACUGCCCGAUGGAGGGGGAUAACUACUGGAAACGGUAGCUAAUACCGCAUAACGUCGCAAGACCAAAGUGGGGGACCUUCGGGCCUCACACCAUCGGAUGUGCCCAGAUGGGAUUAGCUAGUAGGUGGGGUAACGGCUCACCUAGGCGACGAUCCCUAGCUGGUCUGAGAGGAUGACCAGCCACACUGGAACUGAGACACGGUCCAGACUCCUACGGGAGGCAGCAGUGGGGAAUAUUGCACAAUGGGCGCAAGCCUGAUGCAGCCAUGCCGCGUGUAUGAAGAAGGCCUUCGGGUUGUAAAGUACUUUCAGCGAGGAGGAAGGCGUUGUGGUUAAUAACCACAGCGAUUGACGUUACUCGCAGAAGAAGCACCGGCUAACUCCGUGCCAGCAGCCGCGGUAAUACGGAGGGUGCAAGCGUUAAUCGGAAUUACUGGGCGUAAAGCGCACGCAGGCGGUUUGUUAAGUCAGAUGUGAAAUCCCCGGGCUCAACCUGGGAACUGCAUUUGAAACUGGCAAGCUUGAGUCUCGUAGAGGGGGGUAGAAUUCCAGGUGUAGCGGUGAAAUGCGUAGAGAUCUGGAGGAAUACCGGUGGCGAAGGCGGCCCCCUGGACAAAGACUGACGCUCAGGUGCGAAAGCGUGGGGAGCAAACAGGAUUAGAUACCCUGGUAGUCCACGCCGUAAACGAUGUCUACUUGGAGGUUGUGCCCUUGAGGCGUGGCUUCCGGAGCUAACGCGUUAAGUAGACCGCCUGGGGAGUACGGCCGCAAGGUUAAAACUCAAAUGAAUUGACGGGGGCCCGCACAAGCGGUGGAGCAUGUGGUUUAAUUCGAUGCAACGCGAAGAACCUUACCUGGUCUUGACAUCCACGGAAGUUUUCAGAGAUGAGAAUGUGCCUUCGGGAACCGUGAGACAGGUGCUGCAUGGCUGUCGUCAGCUCGUGUUGUGAAAUGUUGGGUUAAGUCCCGCAACGAGCGCAACCCUUAU
Molecule: ribosomal RNA, 1116 nt
Filed under: Salmonella enterica subsp. enterica serovar Kentucky
Lineage: Bacteria; Pseudomonadati; Pseudomonadota; Gammaproteobacteria; Enterobacterales; Enterobacteriaceae
Description: bacterial SSU rRNA
Rfam family: Bacterial small subunit ribosomal RNA
Source: RNAcentral